AAACAGCACUCUGGAGAGACCUGGGGUCCGCCGCAUGGCGUGGAUUACCCAGGCGCCGAAGGUGCAAACCCGCGACGUUGCGGGGCAACUCUCAGGCAAAAGGACAGAGGGGCGGAA
This 117-nucleotide non-coding RNA is filed under the name Bordetella ansorpii. RNAcentral describes it as "Glycine sequence". It matches the Rfam family "Glycine riboswitch aptamer". From Rfam's summary of the family: This family represents the bacterial glycine riboswitch. The record is from Rfam by way of RNAcentral. Lineage: Bacteria; Pseudomonadati; Pseudomonadota; Betaproteobacteria; Burkholderiales; Alcaligenaceae.